CCUUCGAUAGCUCAGCUGGUAGAGCGGAGGACUGUAGAUUGAAUAGUAAUCUGUGGACAUCCUUAGGUCGCUGGUUCGAUUCCGGCUCGAAGGA
RNAcentral lists this transfer RNA (94 nucleotides) under Callithrix jacchus (white-tufted-ear marmoset). It matches the Rfam family "tRNA". Rfam says of the family: Transfer RNA (tRNA) molecules are approximately 80 nucleotides in length. Lineage: Eukaryota; Metazoa; Chordata; Mammalia; Primates; Cebidae. The record is from Rfam by way of RNAcentral.